Molecule: ribosomal RNA, 324 nt
Filed under: uncultured eukaryote
Lineage: Eukaryota
Description: partial 18S ribosomal RNA
Rfam family: Eukaryotic small subunit ribosomal RNA
Source: RNAcentral
CCCUUAGAUGUUCUGGGCCGCACGCGCGCUACACUGAUGCAUUCAACGAGCCUAUCCUUGACCGACAGGUCCGGGUAAUCUUUGAAUCUGCAUCGUGAGGGGAUAGAUUAUUGCAAUUAUUAAUCUUCAACGAGGAAUGCCUAGUAGGCGCAAGUCAUCAGCUUGCGUCGAUUACGUCCCUGCCCUUUGUACACACCGCCCGUCGCUCCUACCGAUUGGGUGUGCUGGUGAAAUGUUCGGAUCGGCCGUUUGUCGCGGUUUCCGCGGCUCGUGGCUGAGAAGUUCAUUAAACCCUCCCACCUAGAGGAAGGAGAAGUCGUAACA